This 497-nucleotide ribosomal RNA is filed under the name uncultured archaeon. Its description in RNAcentral is "bacterial SSU rRNA". It matches the Rfam family "Archaeal small subunit ribosomal RNA", at positions 93 to 593 of the family's 1478-position model. The record is from RNAcentral.
GUAACACGUAGUCAACAUGCCCAGGGGACGUGGAUAACCUCGGGAAACUGAGGAUAAACCGCGAUAGGUCAUUACUUCUGGAAUGGGUAAUGACUCAAACCUAUAUGGCCCCUGGAUUGGGCUGCGGCCGAUCAGGCUGUUGGUGAGGUAAUGGCCCACCAAACCUGUAACCGGUACGGGCUCUGAGAGGAGGAGCCCGGAGAUGGGCACUGAGACAAGGGCCCAGGCCCUAUGGGGCGCAGCAGGCGCGAAACCUCUGCAAUAGGCGAAAGCCUGACAGGGUUACUCUGAGUGAUUUCCGUUAAGGAGAUCUUUUGGCACCUCUAAAAAUGGUGCAGAAUAAGGGGUGGGCAAGUCUGGUGUCAGCCGCCGCGGUAAUACCAGCACCCCGAGUGGUCGGGACGUUUAUUGGGCCUAAAGCAUCCGUAGCCGGUUCUACAAGUCUUCCGUUAAAUCCAGCUGCUUAACAGAUGGGCCGCGGAAGAUACUAUAGAGCU